GAGGUACCCGUCUGAAAAUACUUGUCAUCAAAAUGGAUAAAAAGAGAUGUAUCUAGAAUUAAAAUAUGUCUAGAUGCAUUCCAUUUUAUUCAUUUUGAUGAUAAGUAUUUCCAGACAGAGGAAGUAUUAG
Triticum urartu is the source of this 130-nucleotide non-coding RNA. NCBI's taxonomy places the organism in Eukaryota, Viridiplantae, Streptophyta, Magnoliopsida, Poales, Poaceae. The record is from Rfam.